Molecule: small RNA, 1535 nt
Filed under: Pyricularia oryzae
Lineage: Eukaryota; Fungi; Ascomycota; Sordariomycetes; Magnaporthales; Pyriculariaceae
Description: Magnaporthe oryzae sRNA M_BR32_EuGene_00131351
Source: RNAcentral
AUAAAUUAAUGGGAAAAUGCGUACCGAGGAAUAUUACCAAAAUUUUGGUUUAUAUUUCCUGGUUUGUUCGUUUAAUUUUCCCGUUAAAUUCGUAUAUAUUCGCAGGGUUAAAUAUUAAUUUAAUUUCCUUUUUUUUUACCCAAGUUUCGUAUUUUUUCAAAUUUUGGAAUUUAUUUAAUACCAUUACCGGAUCCAUAUCGCUCCGUAUUUUACAAAUAAUACAACCGUAUUACCUCCGAACCCAUUUUUCGAAAUUUUUAAUAAUAUUAAAAAAUUUAGGCCCUAAACGGGAUUAUAUAGGGAUAAUAUAAAUUAAACCGCAAAAAGUAUUUUUAAUUAUUAAUAAAUAUUCUGCUCCGUUAUAUUUUUCGGGGUAAUAUAUAUAAUUCCAAAAUAUUUCCCAAAAUAAUCGAUAAAAGCGAUUUUCUGGCGUUCGCCCUAAAAGUACUUUUUUUGCGUAUAUUUGUACGCAAUUUUCACAAAUUAUACGGGUAUUGCUAUUAAUUUCUACCUUUUUUGCGUUUUAUAUCAACCGCCCCAAUAUUUAUUAUUCCAAAUAGCCAAUUUGUAAAUACCAGGUACUUGUUGCUUUAAUUUUUGGUUUAAAAAUUUGUAAUAUUAAUUGGAAACCUUUUUUUUACCGUUUUAUUAUAUUACGUAUAACCGUUAUAACGAUAAUUAUUACUUUAAAAAAAAAUUAAAAUUGGAAAAAUAGGAAAAUUGUACAAUAUUAAUUUAUAUUCGAAAAAUAAUAAGUUUUUUUAUUUUUUUAAUUGUAAAAUUAACGUAGUUGCGUAAAUUGGCCUAUAUUUUAAAAAAAAUCUUAACCGUCAAGUUAUAAUCCGUAUUUGCUAAUUAAUAUUUUGGAUAUUAUAUUAACGUGGAAUUUUGGAAUUAAUGCGAUUUUCCAGAAUUAAAUCCCUGUUGUUAAAUAAAUUAUCAAAGGUUUUGCGGCUAUAUUUUUAAAUUUGCAACGUAAAUAUACCGGUUGCAAUUUAAUUGUUAAUAUUUGUUGGGUAAACCGUUUUUUAUUAAUAAAUAAUAUGAAAUUAACAAUAUAUAUCGCGUUUUUAUUAUCAAUAAUAUUAUUAUCGGCGAAAGGGUGGGUAUUUCCUUUAAUUGCAAAUGCAUUUAUUACCAUUUCCGGUAUUUUGAUUAUAUUAUACGGUAUAACGGUAUAAUUUAUAAAUUUAUUGGGGAUUUGUUCAAAAAAUUUUUAUAUUUUUAAUUUUUUUUUUAUAAAUUAAAAUUCCGGUUGGAAUUUGUUGUAAAAAGUUUUUUGCGUACCAAAUUUUGGCGAUAUUAUUUAUAAUUUUUAAAUUUCAAUAAUUUUCGUAAAAUUAUAUUUUUUUCGUCGGGAUUUAUAUUAAAUUCCUUCGAUUUUUUUAAUUUUUUUAUACCUGUUAAAACCCAAUGGAAUUUAUCGCAAUUUUUGCAUUUUUAUCAACAUUUUUUACCGUCGGCAUUUUUGCAUAAAUAUUAAUAUUUUUAUAAUAAUUUGUUUUGGUUUAAAUUGCUUUCGUUUAAAGUUUUUU